GAUGAACGCUGGCGGCGUGCCUAAUACAUGCAAGUCGAGCGAACAGAACAGGAGCUUGCUCCUUUGACGUUAGCGGCGGACGGGUGAGUAACACGUGGAUAACCUACCUAUAAGACUGGGAUAACUUCGGGAAACCGGAGCUAAUACCGGAUAACAUAUUGAACCGCAUGGUUCAAUAGUGAAAGGCGGCUUUGCUGUCACUUAUAGAUGGAUCCGCGCCGUAUUAGCUAGUUGGUAAGGUAACGGCUUACCAAGGCAACGAUACGUAGCCGACCUGAGAGGGUGAUCGGCCACACUGGAACUGAGACACGGUCCAGACUCCUACGGGAGGCAGCAGUAGGGAAUCUUCCGCAAUGGGCGAAAGCCUGACGGAGCAACGCCGCGUGAGUGAUGAAGGUCUUCGGAUCGUAAAACUCUGUUAUCAGGGAAGAACAAAUGUGUAAGUAACUGUGCACAUCUUGACGGUACCUGAUCAGAAAGCCACGGCUAACUACGUG
RNAcentral lists this ribosomal RNA (497 nucleotides) under uncultured bacterium. RNAcentral describes it as "partial 16S ribosomal RNA". It matches the Rfam family "Bacterial small subunit ribosomal RNA", at positions 28 to 507 of the family's 1533-position model. The record is from RNAcentral.